RNAcentral lists this ribosomal RNA (433 nucleotides) under uncultured bacterium. Its description in RNAcentral is "partial 16S ribosomal RNA". It matches the Rfam family "Bacterial small subunit ribosomal RNA", at positions 29 to 507 of the family's 1533-position model. The record is from RNAcentral.
AACGAACGCUGGCGGCAGGCCUAACACAUGCAAGUCGAGCGAGGACUUCGGUCCUAGCGGCGGACGGGUGAGUAACGCGUGGGAACGUGCCCUUUGCUUCGGAAUAGCCCUGGGAAACUGGGAGUAAUACCGGAUGAGCCCUUUGGGGGAAAGAUUUAUCGGCGAAGGAUCGGCCCGCGUUGGAUUAGGUAGUUGGUGGGGUAAUGGCCUACCAAGCCGACGAUCCAUAGCUGGUUUGAGAGGAUGAUCAGCCACACUGGGACUGAGACACGGCCCAGACUCCUACGGGAGGCAGCAGUGGGGAAUCUUAGACAAUGGGGGAAACCCUGAUCUAGCCAUGCCGCGUGAGCGAUGAAGGCCUUAGGGUUGUAAAGCUCUUUCAGCUGGGAAGAUAAUGACGGUACCAGCAGAAGAAGCCCCGGCUAACUCCGUU